UUGGGUGUAGCUCAGUGGUAAAGCAUGUGCUUAGCAUAUACAAAGCCCUGGGUUCAAUCCCUAGCAUCCCAC
Molecule: transfer RNA, 72 nt
Filed under: Heterocephalus glaber (naked mole-rat)
Lineage: Eukaryota; Metazoa; Chordata; Mammalia; Rodentia; Bathyergidae
Rfam family: tRNA
About the family: Transfer RNA (tRNA) molecules are approximately 80 nucleotides in length. Their secondary structure includes four short double-helical elements and three loops (D, anti-codon, and T loops). Further hydrogen bonds mediate the characteristic L-shaped molecular structure. tRNAs have two regions of fundamental functional importance: the anti-codon, which is responsible for specific mRNA codon recognition, and the 3' end, to which the tRNAs corresponding amino acid is attached (by aminoacyl-tRNA synthetases). tRNAs cope with the degeneracy of the genetic code in two manners: having more than one tRNA (with a specific anti-codon) for a particular amino acid; and 'wobble' base-pairing, i.e. permitting non-standard base-pairing at the 3rd anti-codon position.
Source: Rfam by way of RNAcentral